UUUUCGCUAUCACUGGGAGAUGGGCCUGCGGCGCAUUUAGCUAGUUGGGUGGGGUAAACGGCCUACCAAGGCGACGAUGCGUAGCCGACCUGAGAGGGGUGACCGGCCACACUGGGACUGAGACACGGCCCCAGGACUCCCUACGGGGAGGCAGCAGUUAGGGGAAUUUUUUCCCACAAAUGGGACGAAAAGUCCUGAUGGGAGCAACGCCGCCGUGGAACGAUGAAGGUCUU
RNAcentral lists this ribosomal RNA (233 nucleotides) under Brevibacillus agri. RNAcentral's name for it is "partial 16S ribosomal RNA". It matches the Rfam family "Bacterial small subunit ribosomal RNA", at positions 208 to 418 of the family's 1533-position model. Lineage: Bacteria; Bacillati; Bacillota; Bacilli; Caryophanales; Paenibacillaceae. The record is from RNAcentral.